GCUGCUUUUUGCUAUGCGCACUGGUUUGCUGUGAUCUAGAUCCCACGUUCAGCGCGGCCUCUCUGCAGGGAAGACGAGAACGCUUUACCGAGACACGUGGAGGAGAUCUGGGUCAGCGGAGGGACAAACCACGCCGUGAGGAGCCCACCGGGGGCCCGCUCAGACUCCGGACUGCGCACUCUCAACCAAAAUACCACGCGGAUGGUGCAGGAAGCUUGACAGUUUUAUGUGAAAAGCCAUGGGUCAGGGAUGCCUUGUGAGGAAGCCAUCAGACAGGGCCAGGUCGCUAACCAGACAUCGGUUCUGAAGCUGCAGCAUUCAAGCCCACCGGAUAACGCUGUGCGGUGGCAAACCAACCUAUGAAAUAGGGUACAGUCUGUAUACAGGUCAGCACCUGUUACAUGGGAGGACUUCCGGGUGGAGAAGCCUUGUCAAAAGAGAAAAAAGAGGCACUCUCCAACAAAAGGGAUAAAAAAAUGACCAUCUGAUGGCAAGAAACAAAGUUGGAUUCUUAUAUCUUCUACAAAGUAAACUCAAAGUGGAUUGAGGAGUUAAAUAUUGAAAACAAAACCUCAACUCUCAUCUUAAAAACGUGGAUUAAUAUAUUCUUAGAUCUUGGAAAAGUAAGAAAAACAAGUAAGACCACAAAACCACUGGCAAUGA
This 663-nucleotide long non-coding RNA is filed under the name Capra hircus (goat). RNAcentral describes it as "lncRNA (ENSCHIG00010015753.1)". The record is from RNAcentral. Lineage: Eukaryota; Metazoa; Chordata; Mammalia; Artiodactyla; Bovidae.